RNAcentral lists this ribosomal RNA (406 nucleotides) under uncultured bacterium. RNAcentral describes it as "partial 16S ribosomal RNA". It matches the Rfam family "Bacterial small subunit ribosomal RNA", at positions 30 to 526 of the family's 1533-position model. The record is from RNAcentral.
AUUGAACGCUGGCGGCAGGCCUAACACAUGCAAGUCGAACGAGUGGCGGACGGGUGAGUAAUGUCUGGGAAACUGCCUGAUGGAGGGGGAUAACUACUGGAAACGGUAGCUAAUACCGCAUACCAUCUGAUGUGCCCAGAUGGGGUUAGCUAGUAGGUUGGGUAACGGCUCACCUAGGCGACGAUCCCUAGCUGGUCUGAGAGGAUGACCAGCCACAAUGGAACUGUGACACGGUCCAGACUCGUACGGGAGGCAGCAGUGGGGAAUAUUGCACAAUGGGGGCAAGCCUGAUGCAGCCAUGCCGCGUGUAUGAAGAAGGCCUUCGGGUUGUAAAGUACGUUCAGCGGGGAGGCGUGACCCGCAGAAGAAGCACCGGCUAACUCCGUGCCAGCAGCCGCGGUAAUUC